This 358-nucleotide ribosomal RNA is filed under the name Cormocephalus bonaerius. RNAcentral describes it as "eukaryotic LSU rRNA". It matches the Rfam family "Eukaryotic large subunit ribosomal RNA", at positions 666 to 946 of the family's 3401-position model. The record is from RNAcentral. Lineage: Eukaryota; Metazoa; Arthropoda; Chilopoda; Scolopendromorpha; Scolopendridae.
CCAAGGAGUCUAACAUGUGCGCGAGUCGCAGGGUGCUCGCAAUACAAAUCGAACCCGAAACCCGAAGGCGCAAUGAAAGUGAAGGUCGGUGGCCCGACUGACCGAGGCGGGAUCCGUCCGGAGCAUCGUCUGCGGUCGCAAGACCGCAGGAGCCCGGCGGCGCACCGCCGGCCCGUCUCGACCGCUACACUGUCGGCGAGGCGGAGCCAGAGCGCACACGUUGGGACCCGAAAGAUGGUGAACUAUGCUCGGGCAGGACGAAGCCAGAGGAAACUCUGGUGGAGGUCCGUAGCGAUUCUGACGUGCAAAUCGAUCGUCGGACCCGAGUAUAGGGGCGAAAGACUAAUCGAACCGUCUA